CACCCCCGCGUUUACCUAGUAACAUUCCCGCACCCAAUUAACGGAGCGAGGACGCUAAAACCCAGCACCCCGCCAAGAGGCUACAGCUAAAACCUCUCCCCGACAAAAUAAAUCGCAGUAACAGAAACAAAUCCGCUGGACGGUGGGAAGCCGCCCCUCGCCCUUUCCCUCACCUCAGAGAGAAAGGCACAAGGCUGGGUCUUCCAACCUUCGUUUUCUGGACAUCCCUGAAACUUGUUUCCCUACAAGAAACCCACUCGCGAACCACAGCAGAGUCGAACUGACGGACAAACGGUGUGAUGGGUUUUAUGUAAUCCACACAGUAAUCGCCUGGCUCGCUCUGAAUGUUAAUACGAUUGGGAUGGCAACUGGCCCACCCCCCGCACCCCAGCCCCCGUUAACCUCCGCGCCCCGCUCCCCUGCUGGUCUCCUCGGAGGAUGCUGCUCCCCUCGGCCAAGUUUCCCGGCCUCGACCGCGGGCCCUGCCAGCCCGGCGGGCACGUCGUCGUCCUCCGUCAGCCUCGACUUCCCCGGCCGGAGACGCCUCCCCACGCCGGCCCGGCCCGCCUCGCCCGCCCAACCGCCCCCCGCAGCAGGAAGACCCUUACCGCGGUCCAAACUCACUCCCGCCGCGCUCCUCGGACCCUUGCCUCACAACAGUUGUCACUCGAGCUGCUCCCUAGUUUCCAUUUCCGGGCCGUCCGCAGCCCAGAGCCUCCCUUUCCCUGUUUCCGGGCCCCCCGUCCCAUUUCCGGGGAACCCUUGCCGUCUUCACGCCCCCCACCUGCACUUCCGGCCCCCCACUUUCUCUCUUCCUAGACGCCCUCCAGGUUCCAAAGACCACUUCCGGUCCCCUCCCGGCCCCCGCUGGGCUCCCCCAGACCCGCACGCCCUACCCAGGUUCCGCCUCGGGCCUUCCUCAUCGCAGGAGGCCUGAGCGGGGACCCAGCGCACCCCCCCCACCCCAGCCGGGCGGCCCCGGCUCCUCAGGCCGCGGGGCUCGCUCGAGCGCCUCACCCGCCAGCCUCGGGCUGCUCCCUCCGCGGCCCCGCCGCCGCCGGCGAGUCGAGCCGAGAGCCGCGUCGCCAGCGAUGACACGGGCGGGCUGCUCGGGACUUUCGGCUCAGGCGUCCCAGCCCUGCUCAGCCCCCUCCGCCAAGGCCCAGCCCCGCCGCUAAGAACGGCGCCCCAAUUACCUAGUUAGGCCCCAAAGUCUCCGGUCCGGACUCGGUGGCGCGACGGCAACUUCCACUGGCUCCCCCCACCCCCCCCGGCGGCGGCGGCGGCGGCGGCGGCUGGUCGUCCCUUCAAUUAUCAGCUGAGCCGCAGCACCGCGCGGCCGUGCGCCUCCGCCCGCGCCGCCUCCCUCCCCGCCUGCUCCACUCCAGCCGGGGACUACUUUGCCCUAAGGCUCCGGCCUGCGGGAUCUUCCGCAGGACCAGCCCCGCUACCUAUUCACAGCCCAGCACAUCGCCCCUCCCUCCCCAGCGCUCUGACCCCGGCCGGCGAGCCGCCUCCAGUCUCCUUCCGAUCCCUUCAAGGGACCAGGAAGGGGACUGUGGCGCUCGGCUUGGUAUCCCUCCGCUGGGGUCACCCCCGCCCCUCCGCGCCAGCAGGAACUCAAUUCCACUUGGGGUCACCCAGGACCUGAUUGUGGAGAUUUCACAAAGCAGCCUGCCCUGUGGCCCCCGAUCAUCUUUAGAUGGUGGAAGAUUUCUCUGAGAAGUGAGUUUCGGUCAGCGAAACCUGGA
Non-coding RNA from Peromyscus maniculatus bairdii (prairie deer mouse), 1751 nucleotides. The record is from RefSeq and is a predicted model, not a curated record. Lineage: Eukaryota; Metazoa; Chordata; Mammalia; Rodentia; Cricetidae.